UGGGGAAUUUUGGACAAUGGGGAAACCCUGAUCCAGCCAUCCCGCGUGUUCGAUGAAGGCCUUCGGGUUGUAAAGCACUUUUGGCAGGAAAGAAACGUCAUGGGUUAAUACCCCGUGAAACUGACGGUACCUGCAGAAUAAGCACCGGCUAACUACGUGCCAGCAGCCGCGGUAAUACGUAGGGUGCAAGCGUUAAUCGGAAUUACUGGGCGUAAAGCGUGCGCAGGCGGUUCGGAAAGAAAGAUGUGAAAUCCCAGAGCUCAACUUUGGAACUGCAUUUUUAACUACCGGGCUAGAGUGUGUCAGAGGGAGGUGGAAUUCCGCGUGUAGCAGUGAAAUGCGUAGAUAUGCGGAGGAACACCGAUGGCGAAGGCAGCCUCCUGGGAUAACACUGACGCUCAUGCACGAAAGCGUGGGGAGCAAACAGG
RNAcentral lists this ribosomal RNA (428 nucleotides) under Acidobacteriota bacterium. RNAcentral's name for it is "Acidobacteria bacterium partial 16S ribosomal RNA". It matches the Rfam family "Bacterial small subunit ribosomal RNA", at positions 355 to 776 of the family's 1533-position model. Lineage: Bacteria; Pseudomonadati; Acidobacteriota. The record is from RNAcentral.